CUAAUACAUGGAAGAAAGACGAGGGUCCUUGUCGUAAGAUGAGGAAUUCCGAGUGUCGCACGGGUGAGUAACACAUAGACGACCUGCCCCGGAGAGGGGGAUAACGGCUCGAAAGGGCUGCUAAUACCCCAUAAGCCCACGGGAGUUAGAGGUCACGUGAGCAAAGGGCGGAAGUUGCUCCGGGAGGGGUCUGCGGACCAUCAGGUAGUUGGUGGGGUAACGGCCCACCAAGCCGAAGACGGAUAGGGGGCCUGAGAGGGUGGUCCUCCACACGGGCACUGAGAGACGGGCCCGACUCCUACGGGAGGCAGCAGUGGG
This 318-nucleotide small RNA is filed under the name uncultured bacterium. RNAcentral's name for it is "bacterial SSU rRNA". It matches the Rfam family "Bacterial small subunit ribosomal RNA", at positions 48 to 358 of the family's 1533-position model. The record is from RNAcentral.